RNAcentral lists this ribosomal RNA (483 nucleotides) under uncultured bacterium. RNAcentral describes it as "partial 16S ribosomal RNA". It matches the Rfam family "Bacterial small subunit ribosomal RNA", at positions 30 to 506 of the family's 1533-position model. The record is from RNAcentral.
AUUGAACGCUGGCGGCAGGCCUAACACAUGCAAGUCGAGCGGAUGAAGGGAGCUUGCUCCUGGAUUCAGCGGCGGACGGGUGAGUAAUGCCUAGGAAUCUGCCUGGUAGUGGGGGAUAACGUCCGGAAACGGGCGCUAAUACCGCAUACGUCCUGAGGGAGAAAGUGGGGGAUCUUCGGACCUCACGCUAUCAGAUGAGCCUAGGUGGGUUUAGCUAGUUGGUGGGGUAAAGGCCUACUAAGGCGACGAUCCGUAACGGGUCUGAGAGGAUGACCAGUCACACGGGACCUGAGACACGGCCCAGCCUCCAACGGGAGGCAGCAGUGGGAAAUUUUGGACAAUGGGCGAAAGCCUGAUCCAGCCAUGCCGCGUGUGUGAAGAAGGUCUUCGGAUUGUAAAGCAUUUUAAGUUGGGAGGAAGGGCAGUAAGUUAACACCUUGCUGUUUGGACGUUACCAACAGAAUAGGCACCGGCUACCUUCGU